AUACUGCUGAAGAGUCCAACAUAGGACGAAACAGCUGUUCAGUAU
RNAcentral lists this non-coding RNA (45 nucleotides) under Echinostoma caproni. Lineage: Eukaryota; Metazoa; Platyhelminthes; Trematoda; Plagiorchiida; Echinostomatidae. The record is from RNAcentral.